GAUACCCAGAUCGUGUAGAGAUCAAGGCAGAUAUAUCUUACAACUUUUUUCGUUUAAUUCCAGAAUCUAGGCGAAAAGUUGUCCUUAAAAAGGACAUUUUUUGUCGGUUUGUUUUAAGCUAUGUACGGACCUCAGCAUGUAAGGCGAAAUCCGGGUCAACCAAACCAGCCAGCAUUUGAUCCUCGUAUGCCAACUAACCCACAACCGAUUCCAAAUUCAGCCCCAAGAAAUUUAGCGUCUGGAGCAGCAAGAAGCUUCCCAAGCUACUCUGUAAGUUUGUGGUGGAUCAUUCUCUUGAUUUUUAAUUUCAGUAUUUA
Molecule: non-coding RNA, 317 nt
Organism: Ciona intestinalis (vase tunicate)
Lineage: Eukaryota; Metazoa; Chordata; Ascidiacea; Phlebobranchia; Cionidae
Source: RefSeq, a predicted model, not a curated record